Long non-coding RNA from Actinia tenebrosa (Australian red waratah sea anemone), 1050 nucleotides. The record is from RefSeq and is a predicted model, not a curated record. NCBI's taxonomy places the organism in Eukaryota, Metazoa, Cnidaria, Anthozoa, Actiniaria, Actiniidae.
UCUCUCGUUUGUAAUUUUGUACUUUGGGUAUCAGUGAUUGUCAUAUUUUCAGCGUGGAUCAGUUUGAGAACUUCAGUAAGUCUGUGGGACAAUGAAAGCUGCAGACAUUCUACUCUUCAAACUGAGGGACAUCUUGAACACUUGAACUCGUUGCUUGGAUUAACAUAAAACGCGGAAAUUAUCUGAAACAAAUGACCUGAAAAGUCAUUAUACUGCCAAGAGUAUCUUGCAAGUCUAGUUUAGUCUUGUAUAUCUUUAAUAUAAUGCUUUAGCCGAAUAAUCCGCCGGGCCAUAACAUGUUUUCAACCAAGUCUGACUUUGUUGAGGAAGUUGAUAGACGCAUAGCGUGACUCACUGCAUCUUCGAAUUUCAACACCAAGUAUUAAACGAGAAUGGCGGGUUAACGGAACUAGAUUAAAAAGCUACUGUUAAAUAAUAGCAAGAAUGGAUCUUUUAAACUGUAUUAAAGAUUGGCUACAGUGUAUAUACGAAAAAUGACGUCAUUUGUACGAAUCGUACAUCACGUAUCCGAGUCCCUAAGUUCAUGGUCACAUGGAUUUCUUAUACAGUUAUUAUUUCAUAUUCUCAUCAGAAGCAAGAACAAUAUACUGUGAUAUCAUUAGCAACCGAUAGAUUUUCAAUUGGCAACUGAUGCCUUCAGAUUAAAGAAUUAUGUGCAAUGAAUCAACCGGGUGAGUUUCAAUACCUGAAAGAAGAAAGGAUAGGAAGUGAAAGUCUUCUAUGGAGGCUUAAUGGAUUUGAACUCGCCAUCGCCACUUCGGGUAUCGACUGAAUCUCACAUUCCUCAACAAUCGAUUUUCCGAAAAUUCUACCCUAUUUAGCCAGUUCAGCGGACAGUAAUGUUGCCAGCUACUUGUAGAAAAUUGUUGAGUAAUGGUUUUCCAAGCGAACGGGAACAGAAUAUGAUUCGUUAUAGACAGUGUCAAUCUCCCAAUCCCCGGCCCUUGGAUAAACCAUGAGGGGGUCCCGUGACCGAACUCUAUACCUCGCAACGACAAAAUGAAAAAUAAAAAUUCCCCUUAAAAAUUG